AGUCGAACGAAGUCUUCGGACUGAGUGGCGGACGGGUGAGUAACACGUGAGAACCUGCCUUAAGGUCGGGGAUAACAGUUGGAAACGACUGCUAAUACCGGAUGUGCCUACGGGUGAAAGAUUUAUUGCCUAAAGAUGGGCUCGCGUCUGAUUAGCUAGUUGGAGUGGUAAUGGCACACCAAGGCGACGAUCAGUAGCUGGUCUGAGAGGAUGAUCAGCCACACUGGGACUGAGACACGGCCCAGACUCCUACGGGAGGCAGCAGUGGGGAAUUUUCCGCAAUGGGCGAAAGCCUGACGGAGCAAGACCGCGUGAGGGAGGAAGGCUCUUGGGUUGUAAACCUCUUUUGUCAGGGAAGAACACAAUGACGGUACCUGACGAAUCAGCAUCGGCUAACUCCGUGCCAGCAGCCGCGGUAAUACGGAGGAUGCAAGCGUUAUCCGGAAUUAUUGGGCGUAAAGCGUCCGCAGGUGGUUGUACAAGUCUGCUGUCAAAGCGCGGAGCUUAACUCCGUAAAGGCGGUGGAAACUGUGCGACUAGAGUUCGGUAGGGGUCGCGGGAAUUCCCAGUGUAGCGGUGAAAUGCGUAGAUAUUGGGAAGAACACCGGUGGCGAAAGCGCGCGACUGGACCGAGACUGACACUCAUGGACGA
This 652-nucleotide ribosomal RNA is filed under the name uncultured cyanobacterium. RNAcentral's name for it is "bacterial SSU rRNA". It matches the Rfam family "Bacterial small subunit ribosomal RNA", at positions 60 to 756 of the family's 1533-position model. Lineage: Bacteria; Bacillati; Cyanobacteriota. The record is from RNAcentral.